GCUGUUAUGGUGAAAUUGGUAAACACAGAGUUUUCAAAAAACUCCGACUUAACGUCUUAUCGGUUCAAGUCCGAUUAACGGCA
This 83-nucleotide transfer RNA is filed under the name Chlorella vulgaris. RNAcentral's name for it is "tRNA-Leu". It matches the Rfam family "tRNA". From Rfam's summary of the family: Transfer RNA (tRNA) molecules are approximately 80 nucleotides in length. The record is from RNAcentral. Lineage: Eukaryota; Viridiplantae; Chlorophyta; Trebouxiophyceae; Chlorellales; Chlorellaceae.